UCUCAUCCUCAUCCAAUAUCACCCUCUUGUUUCUUCAAAGACCAUGUAGAUUUCCACCAAUUCCAGAUUUGAAAAACCUAGAAACCCUAGAUUUUUUCCCUUUUUUGAUUCUUCAAAUUUCAAGGUUCGAUUCAAGCUGAAAAUUACAUUAAUCUAUUGUUCUCAAUGUUAAUUUCAGUUCGUAUCGAAGCUAUCAGAAUCAAGGCGAGCUUCCUGGAUUUGCUUCAAAGUGAAUCAUUUUCUUUUCAUUAGGUACAUACUCACUUUGUUCUAUCUCUUUGUGUUUUUCAUUUGUUUUUUUAAAAAGAAAGAAAGAAAAAGAGUAGAGGAAUCGUAGGUCUAGGUGUUUAAUUGAAAUUAUUUGCUGAGUUUUUAAAUUAGCUUAAUUAGGUUGGGUUAGCUCAUUAAUUAGUUAACUAACAGUAGAUUAACAUUUGGCUUAAUAUAUUUGUUUUAAGUAUUCACAUGUUGGAUUUGUUUUAGUGCGUUGUGUGAUUUAGAAAUUUAAUUGCAUGAUAAUUAGUCUUAAUUAUUGAGUUAAUUAGAUUUAUUUUGCUUCAUUGUUUCUUGGGAUUGAUCCGUGUGAUUUUUUUUUGUUAUGGCUCAUUUGUAAUUAACAAAAACUAAAAGGUUUAAUUGAAAAUCAAAAAUAGGAAAUAUUAGAUAGGCAUAUAGGAACCUUCUGGAUAAUGGACAACUGUCCAAAGUUGAUAAGAAAAAGAUGCUGAAAAUUGGAUAAAACAUCUGAAAAGGAUAGCUGUACAAAAAUUGAUUAAAAAGAUGCUCUUGUUUCCUUUUUUUUUUACGGCUGAUAGACUCCCUUUGAUAUUCCUUCAUUCAUUUUUCUAUAUAUAGGGAUACAGACUGAAUUCUGGGGGACAUAUACUCACUCCCAUUCUCACUGAUUUCUCUAAAAAAACACUCUAAAAAAUCCAAUUGGAAUACAAAAAAAAAAAGAUUCAAAGUUGCCUUUUUUCUAAGUUCUCUACUGAAUCUGUUUCACUUGGCUGGGAUCUCGAGCUGUAUUCAAGCUUAAGAAACUGCUCGUUUAACUUAAAUUUUGUUGCUGUUUAUUGCUGGCUUGAUUUUCAUCUUUCAUCUUUGUAUCAUCAAAAGUUCAUUGGUUCUAUCUAUAGGUACGUGGAAUUUUUUAUGUUAUUCUCUUUUGAAUAUGAGAAUGAUGAAUGAACUGUUGUUUCCAUAAGCAUGUUUUAAACUUCUAAUGUUGUUUAUCAGAUCUGUUUGUUCUGUUCUGUUCAUGAAUUUGUAUCCUUAAGCUAAAUUUAAACUAAAAUCAUCUGCUACUUCAAAGACUUCAUAUGUUGAUCCACUAUCUGGUUUGACCUUCACAUCAGUAUGCUUAAAUAUAUUGCAUUAAAAUAGAUUUUACUCUUUCCCUCAUUUGAAAUUUAGUUUGGUUUGCCCAUCUCAUCAAUCAUUCUUGAAAGAACACUUAUUGAGUUAAAAUUUAUCAGUUAUUAAAUUUGAUCACUAGUUGGUCAAAAUUUGAUGAUUGAGAAGGUCCAGGCAACGUUGAAGUGCAUCAAUUGAUAGUCUUGCCUUUCUAUGAGCAAUAAGGGGAAUCUAAGAAUUAUGACAGAGGCGUUCUAAUAUUUUAGCUGUUAAGGUUGUAUUUGAUAGAGUAGUCACUGUGAUGUACUAUUUUAUUUUUUUUUUUAAAUUCCAGUAGAUUCGAAGUUUGGUUUUUUGUCCCUUUUGUAAUAUGUUCAGUUUUGAGAGAGUAGUACCCUAGAUUGAUUUGACUUCUGGAAUGUAUGAAAUCUGAUUUGGAACUCUUAUAUUGCUAUCAUUGUUUAGUUACUCUUCAAUUCUUGAUUGUCGUUUGGAUUUGCAUAGUCGUAUGCGAUUCUAGGCUGUUGAGUCGCCUUGACCAAGGCAUUAAGCCCAAAAGUGAUUUAAUUAGAUUAGGUAAUGUUAGAAGAGUUCACAUGGACUCAUUACAAGCUAUGGGCUACCUGAGAA
Molecule: long non-coding RNA, 1983 nt
Filed under: Nicotiana tabacum (common tobacco)
Lineage: Eukaryota; Viridiplantae; Streptophyta; Magnoliopsida; Solanales; Solanaceae
Description: long non-coding RNA (NTAB_LNC002173)
Source: RNAcentral